This 320-nucleotide ribosomal RNA is filed under the name uncultured Chloroflexota bacterium. RNAcentral describes it as "bacterial SSU rRNA". It matches the Rfam family "Bacterial small subunit ribosomal RNA", at positions 28 to 351 of the family's 1533-position model. Lineage: Bacteria; Bacillati; Chloroflexota. The record is from RNAcentral.
GGCGAACGCUGGCGGCGCGCCUAAAGCAUGUAAGUCGAACGGAGCCUUCUUCGGAAUGCUCAGUGGCGGACGGCUGAGUAACACGUGGGUAACCUGCCCCGAAGUGGGGAAUAACUCGUGGAAACAUGGGUUAAUACCGCAUAUGGUCUAUGCCCGCAAGGGCACAGACUAAAGGCAGCAAUGUCGCUUCGGGAGGGGCCCGCGGCCCAUCAGCUAGUUGGCGGGGUAAUGGCUCACCAAGGCGAUGACGGGUAGCUGGCCUGAGAGGGUGGUCAGCCAGACUGGGACUGAGAAACGGCCCAGACUCCUACGGGAGGCAG